RNAcentral lists this ribosomal RNA (113 nucleotides) under Pseudomonas syringae pv. actinidiae. The record is from RNAcentral. Lineage: Bacteria; Pseudomonadati; Pseudomonadota; Gammaproteobacteria; Pseudomonadales; Pseudomonadaceae.
UACGAACAUAGAACAUUUGAACCACAUUAUACCAUCCAGAUCUAAGCAGUUAAACUUAGUAUCGCCGAUGGUAGUGUGGGGUUUCCCCAUUUGAGAGUAGGUCAUCGUCAAGA